Molecule: ribosomal RNA, 428 nt
Filed under: uncultured bacterium
Lineage: Bacteria
Description: bacterial SSU rRNA
Rfam family: Bacterial small subunit ribosomal RNA
Source: RNAcentral
ACGCUGGCGGCAUGCUAACACAUGCAAGUCGAACGAGACCUUCGGGUCUAGUGGCGCACGGGUGCGUAACACGUGGGAAUUUGCCUCGGGGUAUGGAAUAACUCAGGGAAACUUGAGCUAAUACCAUAUAAUGUCUUCGGACCAAAGAUUUAUCGCCCUGAGAUAAGCCCGCGUAGGAUUAGCUAGUUGGUGGGGUAAAGGCUCACCAAGGCGACGAUCCUUAGCUGGUCUGAGAGGAUGAUCAGCCACACUGGGACUGAGACACGGCCCAGACUCCUACGGGAGGCAGCAGUGGGGGAAUAUUGGACGAUGGGCGAAAGCCUGAUCCAGCAAUGCCGCGUGAGUGAUGAAGGCCUUCGGGUUGUAAAGCUCUUUUACUCGGGACGAUAAUGACGGUACCGAGAGAAUAAGCCCCGGCUAACUCCGUG